UGUAUGAAAUGGAUAUAAGAUAUAUAGAUGUAUGAAAUGGAAUAUGAUAUGUUUAAUAUGCUCUUUGACUGAGACGUUGACCGAGAUAAUAUAAGACGAUCUCGUUGAUAAAUCACGUACGAUAGAAAAAAUUAUAUGAAGUCACGUACGAUAGAAAAAAUUAUAUGAAGUCACGUACGAUAGAAAAAAUUAUACUUUAACACAACUUUUUUCAAUUUAUUUCACAUAGUGAUAGUUCAAUAUCGGUUCGAUGGCUAUAUGAUAUAGUUUGAUAGCUGUACGAUGCAAUUCAAUAUCGGUUCGAUAGCUGUAUGAUACAGUUUGAUAGCUGUACGAUGCAGUUCAAUAUCGGUUCGAUAGCUGUAUGAUACAGUUUGAUAGCUGUACGAUGCAGUUCAAUAUCGGUUCGAUAGCUGUAUGAUACAGUUUGAUAGUAGUUCAAUGGUGGUUCAAUAGCUGUAUGAUGCAGUUUGAUAGCUGUAUGAUGCAGUUCAAUAUCGGUUCGAUAGCUGUAUGAUACAAUUUGAUAGCUGUACGAUGCAGUUCAAUAUCGGUUCGAUAGCUGUAUGAUACAGUUUGAUAGUAGUUCAAUGGUGGUUCAAUAGCUGUAUGAUGCAGUUUGAUAGCUGUACGAUGCAGUUCAAUAUCGGUUUGAUAGCUGUAUGAUACAGUUUGAUAGUGGUUCAAUAGCGGUUCAAUAGAUGUGUGAUGCUGUUUGAUAGCGGUUCGAUAGCUGUACAAUGCAGUUUGAUAAUAUAUGAUAUAGAUGUAUGAUAUAAAUGUAAGUUUGGAAUGUUUAAUGUGGUUUUUAUUUCGAACGAGAUGUUAACUGAGACGUUAACCGAGACAGCAUUAUAAAGCUUUGAAAUGAGAAUGCGUGCAGAUAAAAAAAUUCCACAAAGCUGACACGACUUUUUUCAAAUUCAUCUCUCAAGUGAGAGUAACGCACAUCUUUAGUCUACUGCUUCUCGACGGUGCAGUCAGUUCGUGGUAUAUUAAUAGUGAGCUUGUGAAGAAACUUUUUAUCGCAAAUACUACAUGACCAUGCAGAACAUUCAAAUCAUGUAUCCCGUCACCGGUGUAAGUGAUAGUGCAAGUUUAUGUGCAUGUGAAGUGUAAAAAAUUAAAUAAUAAUUAUAUUCUGUUUUUUAGUACGUGUGUGUUGAUGGGACGCCGAUCCGACGUGUUAUAAUUAACAAUGAGCUGCGCGUGAGGGUACCACUUCCUGGCCCUCCAAUAAACAUCCCUUUAGGAGGGCUAUUGUCGGUGCGCGAGUCAACAAGUAAUCAACCAUGGUUGUACCAAGAAGAUAUCCAAAUUAGGGGAUUUAUUAAUAUAAAUAAAAUAUUCUGGACACGAUGGAGGAGAAAUAUGCUAAGAGCGCAGAACGACGACGUUUUGGAACGAUCAUACGGUCAAUUUGGUGAAGCCGACGUAUGGGACUUGCGUCGUCUUUUUGGCAUGCCUCCUCUAAUAGAUAAUAAUAUCGAAAUUUGGGUGUAAAUAUAUAAAUAUAUAAAUAUAUAUAAAUAAAUGAUAAGAAUGAAUAUAAAUACAUAAA
Long non-coding RNA from Monomorium pharaonis (pharaoh ant), 1561 nucleotides. RefSeq lists it as uncharacterized. The record is from RefSeq and is a predicted model, not a curated record. Lineage: Eukaryota; Metazoa; Arthropoda; Insecta; Hymenoptera; Formicidae. The transcript has 2 exons.